Molecule: ribosomal RNA, 593 nt
Filed under: uncultured bacterium
Lineage: Bacteria
Description: bacterial SSU rRNA
Rfam family: Bacterial small subunit ribosomal RNA
Source: RNAcentral
CUACGGGAGGCAGCAGUGGGGAAUCUUCCGCAAUGGGCGGAAGCCUGACGGAGCAACGCCGCGUGAGCGAAGAAGGUCUUCGGAUCGUAAAGCUCUGUUGCCGGGGACGAAUGUAGGCAGUGCAAACAGCAUUGUGUAAUGACGGUACCCGGCGAGGAAGCCACGGCUAACUACGUGCCAGCAGCCGCGGUAAUACGUAGGUGGCGAGCGUUGUCCGGAAUUAUUGGGCGUAAAGCGCGCGCAGGCGGUUCCUUAAGUCUGAUGUGAAAUCUCGCGGCUCAACCGCGAGCGGCCAUUGGAAACUGGGGAACUUGAGUGCAGGAGAGGGGAGCGGAAUUCCACGUGUAGCGGUGAAAUGCGUAGAGAUGUGGAGGAACACCAGUGGCGAAGGCGGCUCUCUGGCCUGUAACUGACGCUGAGGCGCGAAAGCGUGGGGAGCGAACAGGAUUAGAUACCCUGGUAGUCCACGCCGUAAACGAUGAGUGCUAGGUGUUAGACCCUUUCCGGGGUUUAGUGCCGCAGCUAACGCAUUAAGCACUCCGCCUGGGGAGUACGACCGCAAGGUUGAAACUCAAAGGAAUUGUCGGGGACCC